UGGCCAAGGCAAGGAUAAGCAAUAGACGC
This 29-nucleotide non-coding RNA is filed under the name Mus musculus (house mouse). Lineage: Eukaryota; Metazoa; Chordata; Mammalia; Rodentia; Muridae. The record is from RNAcentral.